Non-coding RNA from Stegodyphus mimosarum, 71 nucleotides. NCBI's taxonomy places the organism in Eukaryota, Metazoa, Arthropoda, Arachnida, Araneae, Eresidae. The record is from Rfam.
GCCUUCGUGGUAUAACGGUAGCACACUCAGCGCGUAAUCGAGAGUUCCAGGUUCGAAUCCCGGUGAGGGCA